GUGUCAGCCGCCGCGGUAAAACGUAGGACGCAAGCGUUAUCCGGAGUUACUGGGCGUAAAGGGCAGGUAGGCGGGCGGUUAAGUGGGGUGUGAAAUCUCCCGGCUCAACCGGGAGGGUGCAUUCGAGACUGGCCGUCUGGAGGGCAGCAGAGGAGCGUGGAAUUCCGGGUGGAGUGGUGAAAUGCGUAGAGAUCCGGAGGAACACCAGAGGCGAAAGCGGGGCUCUGGGCUGCACCUGACGCUGAACUGCGAAAGCCAGGGGAGCGAACGGGAUUAGAAACCCUCGUAGUCC
This 292-nucleotide ribosomal RNA is filed under the name uncultured bacterium. Its description in RNAcentral is "partial 16S ribosomal RNA". It matches the Rfam family "Bacterial small subunit ribosomal RNA", at positions 505 to 796 of the family's 1533-position model. The record is from RNAcentral.